UAUCUCUGUAGAGUCUGCAUAUCAAUAAGCGGAGGAAAAGAAGCUAACUAGGAUUCCCUCAGUAACGGCGAGUGAAGCGGGAAGAGCUCAAAUUUGAAAUCUUCAAGGUUCUACCUUGACGAAUUGUAGUUUAAAGAAGUGUUUUCUGUUGGAGUUUUGGUAAAAGUUCUUUGGAAUAGGACAUCAUAGAGGGUGAGAAUCCCGUAUUUGACCAUUAUUUCCAGCUUUGUGAUACACUUUCAAAGAGUCGGAUUGUUUGGGAAUGCAGUCCAAAAUGGGUGGUAAAUUUCAUCUAAAGCUAAAUAUUGGCGAGAGACCGAUAGCGAACAAGUACCGUGAGGGAAAGAUGAAAAGAACUUUGAAAAGAGAGUUAAACAGUACGUGAAAUUGUCAAAAGGGAAGCGUUUGACACCAGUGUUGUUUUCUCGAAAAUCAAUUAAAAAAGUCGGAUUUUGUAUUGUAAUUGACCUUUAUCAGCUUUACUGCUACUCUUUUCUUGUCUUUUUUUAAUGCACUUUUCGUUUAACAAGUCAACAUCAAUUUCUUUUGUUGUAAAAGGGUCAUUGGAAGGUGGCUUUCUUUUCGGAGAAAGUGUUUAUAGCCUUUGGCCUCUGCAAUCGGAGAGAUUGAGGUCUGCAGCGUAGAUCCUUCGGGGUUAGAUACAUUUGUGCUAAGUUAUAGCCUUUCAUAGACAACUUGUUGACUAUGAUCAGUCAUGUAGCUUACUCGCUUAUGCUAUUUUACCUACGCUAGGAUGUUGAAGAUGUAGCACAUCAU
Molecule: ribosomal RNA, 777 nt
Filed under: uncultured Neocallimastigales
Lineage: Eukaryota; Fungi; Neocallimastigomycota; Neocallimastigomycetes; Neocallimastigales
Description: partial large subunit ribosomal RNA
Rfam family: Eukaryotic large subunit ribosomal RNA
Source: RNAcentral